UCCCUGGUGGCUCAGACGGUAAAGCAUCUGCCUACAAUGCAGGAGACCUGGGUUCAAUCCUUUGGUCGGGAA
This 72-nucleotide transfer RNA is filed under the name Capra hircus (goat). It matches the Rfam family "tRNA". Rfam says of the family: Transfer RNA (tRNA) molecules are approximately 80 nucleotides in length. Their secondary structure includes four short double-helical elements and three loops (D, anti-codon, and T loops). Further hydrogen bonds mediate the characteristic L-shaped molecular structure. tRNAs have two regions of fundamental functional importance: the anti-codon, which is responsible for specific mRNA codon recognition, and the 3' end, to which the tRNAs corresponding amino acid is attached (by aminoacyl-tRNA synthetases). tRNAs cope with the degeneracy of the genetic code in two manners: having more than one tRNA (with a specific anti-codon) for a particular amino acid; and 'wobble' base-pairing, i.e. permitting non-standard base-pairing at the 3rd anti-codon position. The record is from Rfam by way of RNAcentral. Lineage: Eukaryota; Metazoa; Chordata; Mammalia; Artiodactyla; Bovidae. RNAcentral also lists the same sequence under 1 other name.